GAACCAAUGGUGUGAUGUCACGUC
Molecule: non-coding RNA, 24 nt
Filed under: Arabidopsis thaliana (thale cress)
Lineage: Eukaryota; Viridiplantae; Streptophyta; Magnoliopsida; Brassicales; Brassicaceae
Source: RNAcentral